RNAcentral lists this unclassified non-coding RNA (228 nucleotides) under Hevea brasiliensis (rubber tree). Lineage: Eukaryota; Viridiplantae; Streptophyta; Magnoliopsida; Malpighiales; Euphorbiaceae. The record is from RNAcentral.
GCAAACUUUAAUGAUGGAAGCAGUAGCGCGUCAACACCAAAUUCUACGAGUGAAACUCCAUCAAAUGUUCGUAAGAGGAAGUACUUUCCGAUGAGAUUCUCAUAUUUAUUUUAGAAUUUCAUCCCUUUAAUUGUGGUGUCCUCUUAAUCGGUAUUAAAGACAUUUUUAUUACUGUAUAAUAAGUACAAAUCUAGUCAAACAGGGCUAUAAAUAUAAUACACCAUUCCA